This is a long non-coding RNA of Paramisgurnus dabryanus, 1345 nucleotides long. RefSeq lists it as uncharacterized. The record is from RefSeq and is a predicted model, not a curated record. Lineage: Eukaryota; Metazoa; Chordata; Actinopteri; Cypriniformes; Cobitidae.
GUUCAACUUUUCAGAAAUCGGACAAAUAAUGGAAGGACAACGUGUUGAUAGUGAUGUGUUUGAGGUAGCGAUCAAUUCUAUUGAAACGCUAUUGAAAACCAUGAAGAAAUCCACAUCUGAACACGCUGUUCAGGUAGGACAGGUGGAGAAACAGGAGAUCGGUGUGCUCACCAGACCUCUAGUCACAAAGUUGUGGUCGGUCCCAGGGCAUUACGCUGGUGAUAAACCAACACGAGCCAGAGAUCAAGCUAUGAUCCAAGACCUGAAGAUACGUGAAAUGCCACUGGUUACAAAACUCCAACCAACAAAAGACAAAAAGAAACGCUUUCAAGCUUUUAUGCGUGAGCUGAGACAAAGGACGCAGGUGCAACCAAGACAAAGUACCCCAUGGGCCUUUGAAAUGGAUGAAGAGCGAUCAAUUCUAUUGAAACGCUAUUGAAAACCAUGAAGAAAUCCACAUCUGAACACGCUGUUCAGGUAGGACAGGUGGAGAAACAGGAGAUCGGUGUGCUCACCAGACCUCUAGUCACAAAGUUGUGGUCGGUCCCAGGGCAUUACGCUGGUGAUAAACCAACACGAGCCAGAGAUCAAGCUAUGAUCCAAGACCUGAAGAUACGUGAAAUGCCACUGGUUACAAAACUCCAACCAACAAAAGACAAAAAGAAACGCUUUCAAGCUUUUAUGCGUGAGCUGAGACAAAGGACGCAGGUGCAACCAAGACAAAGUACCCCAUGGGCCUUUGAAAUGGAUGAAGAGCGAUCAAUUCUAUUGAAACGCUAUUGAAAACCAUGAAGAAAUCCACAUCUGAACACGCUGUUCAGGUAGGACAGGUGGAGAAACAGGAGAUCGGUGUGCUCACCAGACCUCUAGUCACAAAGUUGUGGUCGGUCCCAGGGCAUUACGCUGGUGAUAAACCAACACGAGCCAGAGAUCAAGCUAUGAUCCAAGACCUGAAGAUACGUGAAAUGCCACUGGUUACAAAACUCCAACCAACAAAAGACAAAAAGAAACGCUUUCAAGCUUUUAUGCGUGAGCUGAGACAAAGGACGCAGGUGCAACCAAGACAAAGUACCCCAUGGGCCUUUGAAAUGGAUGAAGAGCGAUCAAUUCUAUUGAAACGCUAUUGAAAACCAUGAAGAAAUCCACAUCUGAACACGCUGUUCAGGUAGGACAGGUGGAGAAACAGGAGAUCGGUGUGCUCACCAGACCUCUAGUCACAAAGUUGUGGUCGGUCCCAGGGCAUUACGCUGGUGAUAAACCAACACGAGCCAGAGAUCAAGCUAUGAUCCAAGACCUGAAGAUACGUGAAAUGCCACUGGUUACAAAACUCCGACCAACAAAAGAC